Molecule: long non-coding RNA, 1225 nt
Organism: Dalotia coriaria
Lineage: Eukaryota; Metazoa; Arthropoda; Insecta; Coleoptera; Staphylinidae
Exons: 6
Source: RefSeq, a predicted model, not a curated record
CACAUCGAACCCUGCCCCAAAAGCUUUUUUUUCGUUGGGAAGCUGGAUACAUCAGAAUCGAUCUCGGCAUGAAUAGAACUGCAUCACAUCGGAUUCUUCUUCAGCUACGGUUAACAAUAAUAUAAUAAUUACUUUCCGGCUUUGCAAGGGUAGGAACCCAUUCCUUGAUGGGUAUACACAUCAGGCCCUGACCCUUGGUGAUCAGCUGGACAACUGGCUAAUUUGUGACCGUUAGGAUCAACCUCGACGUGGACGGAUCACAUCUUCUUCUUUGACUUCUGUUAACAGUCAAAAAAAAAUUAAUCAAAUAUUAUUACGAACAAAUAUUAAUUUAUUCCCCGGGAGACAGCAGCCUAUUCCUUGAUGGGUAUACACAUCGGAAGUUCAUGAAAGUUCUAAAAACAGAAAUAAUUAUUUUAAAAUGUAUUAAUAUUGAAUUAUUUGUAUUAGUUGUUACUCGUAGUUAAUAUUGUAAUAAAACUCACGUCAGUUUCUUUCCAGUUUGGCAUACCCCUGAGGGCAGUAGCCCAUUCCUUGAUGGGUAUACACAUCGGGCCCUGAUCCCCAAAGGCGGAAAGAUAGCUGAACCAGUCUUUCAGGAUCGACAUCGGCGUUAGUGGAACCGCAUCACAUCGGCCUCUUCUUCUUCGUCUUCAGCUGAAAUUAACAUCAAUAAAAUAAUAGCCCAUUCCUUGAUGGGUAUACACAUCAGGCCCUGACCCCCAAAGGCGGAAAGAUACCUGAGCCAAGACCUUCAGGAUCGACAUCGGCGUUAGUGGAACUGCAUCAUAUCGGCGUCUUCUUCUUCGUCUUCAGCUGAGAUUAACAUCCAUAAAAUAAUUUGGCAUACCCCUGAGGGCAGUAGCCCAUUCCUUGAUGGGUAUACACAUCAGGCCCUGACCCCCAAAGGCGGAAAGAUAGCUGAGCUGAGACCUUCAGGAUCGACAUCGGCGUUAGUGGAACUGCAUCACAUCGGCCUCUUCUUCUUCGUCUUCAGCUGAAAUUAACAUCAAUAAAAUAAUUUCUUUCCAAUUUGGCAUACCCCUGAGGGCAGUAGCCCAUUCCUUGAUGGGUAUACACACCAGGCCCUGACCCCCAAAGGCGGAAAGAUACCUGAGCCAAGACCUUCAGGAUCGACAUCGGCGUUAGUGGAACUGCAUCAUAUCGGCGUCUUCUUCUUCGUCUUCAGCUGAGAUUAACAUCCAUAAAAUAAUUUGGCAUACCC